RNAcentral lists this ribosomal RNA (251 nucleotides) under uncultured bacterium. RNAcentral's name for it is "partial 16S ribosomal RNA". It matches the Rfam family "Bacterial small subunit ribosomal RNA", at positions 1241 to 1500 of the family's 1533-position model. The record is from RNAcentral.
AGAGAGGAGCGAUGCGGCGACGCAGAGCGGAACUUCAAAGCCUGUCUCAGUUCGGAUUGGAGUCUGCAACCCGACUCCAUGAAGCUGGAUUCGCUAGUAAUCGCGCAUCAGCCACGGCGCGGUGAAUACGUUCCCGGGCCUUGUACACACCGCCCGUCAAGCCAUGGAAGCCGGGAGUGCCUGAAGUGUGCAACCGCAAGGAGCGCCCUAAGGUAAAACCGGUGACUGGGGCUAAGUCGUAACAAGGUAAC